This 388-nucleotide ribosomal RNA is filed under the name uncultured bacterium. RNAcentral describes it as "bacterial SSU rRNA". It matches the Rfam family "Bacterial small subunit ribosomal RNA", at positions 28 to 415 of the family's 1533-position model. The record is from RNAcentral.
GACGAACGUUGGCGGCGUGCUUAAUACAUGCAAGUCAACUGAAGCACCGGUAGUAAUACUGGUGUGGAGGUGGCGCACGGGUGAGUAACACGUAGGUAAUCUGCCUUCAGGUCUGACAUAACCCCGAGAAAUCGGGGCUAAUAGCAGAUGAUGCAGCGGCUUGACAUCAAGACAGUUGUUAAAGCUUCGGCGCCUGAAGAUGAGCCUGCGUCGAUUAGCUAGUUGGCGGAGUAACAGCCCACCAAGGCUACGAUCAGUAGCUGGUCUGAGAGGAUGAUCAGCCACACUGGAACUGAGACACGGUCCAGACUCCUACGGGAGGCAGCAGUAAGAAUAUUGCUCAAUGGGAGAAAUCCUGAAGCAGCAACGCCGCGUGAGGGAUGAAGGG